RNAcentral lists this ribosomal RNA (503 nucleotides) under uncultured bacterium. RNAcentral describes it as "bacterial SSU rRNA". It matches the Rfam family "Bacterial small subunit ribosomal RNA", at positions 338 to 856 of the family's 1533-position model. The record is from RNAcentral.
CCUACGGGAGGCAGCAGUAGGGAAUCUUGCGCAAUGGGCGAAAGCCUGACGCAGCCAUGCCGCGUGAAUGAUGAAGGUCUUAGGAUUGUAAAAUUCUUUCACCGGGGACGAUAAUGACGGUACCCGGAGAAGAAGCCCCGGCUAACUUCGUGCCAGCAGCCGCGGUAAUACGAAGGGGGCUAGCGUUGCUCGGAAUUACUGGGCGUAAAGGGAGCGUAGGCGGAUAGUUUAGUCAGAGGUGAAAGCCCAGGGCUCAACCUUGGAACUGCCUUUGAUACUGGCUAUCUUGAGUACGGGAGAGGUGUGUGGAACUCCGAGUGUAGAGGUGAAAUUCGUAGAUAUUCGGAAGAACACCAGUGGCGAAGGCGACACACUGGCCCGUUACUGACGCUGAGGCUCGAAAGCGUGGGGAGCAAACAGGAUUAGAUACCCUGGUAGUCCACGCCGUAAACGAUGAGUGCUAGUUGUCGGCGAUGCAUGCAUGUCGGUGGACGCGAGCUACG